AUUGAACGCUGGCGGCAGGCCUAACACAUGCAAGUCGAACGAGUGGCGGACGGGUGAGUAAUGUCUGGGACCCGGCCUGAUGGAUGGGUAUAACUAAUGGAAACUGUAGCUAAUACCGCAUACCAUCGGAUGUGCCCAGAUGGGAUUAGCUAGUAGUUGGGGUAAAGGCUCACCUAGGCGACGAUCCCUUGCUGGUCUGAGAGGAGGACCAGCCACACUGGAACUGAGACACGGUCCAGACGCCUACGGGAGGCAGCAGUGGGGAAUAUGGCACAAUGGGGGCAAUCCUGAUGCAGCCAUGCCGCGUGUAUGAUGAAGGCCUUCGGGUUGUAAAGUACUUUCAGCGGGGAAGCGGUACCCGCAGAAGAAGCACCGGCUAACUCCGUGCCAGCAGCCGCGGUAAUAC
This 406-nucleotide ribosomal RNA is filed under the name uncultured bacterium. Its description in RNAcentral is "partial 16S ribosomal RNA". It matches the Rfam family "Bacterial small subunit ribosomal RNA", at positions 30 to 526 of the family's 1533-position model. The record is from RNAcentral.